CAGUAGCCGCGGUAAUACGAAGGGUGCAAGCGUUACUCGGAAUUACUGGGCGUAAAGCGUGCGUAGGUGGUGGUUUAAGUCUGUUGUGAAAGCCCUGGGCUCAACCUGGGAAUUGCAGUGGAUACUGGGUCACUAGAGUGUGGUAGAGGAUAGUGGAAUUUCCGGUGUAGCAGUGAAAUGCGUAGAGAUCGGAAGGAACAUCUGUGGCGAAGGCGACUAUCUGGGCCAACACUGACACUGAGGCACGAAAGCGUGGGGAGCAAACAGGAUUAGAUACCCGUGUAGUCCCUGUCUCUUAUAC
RNAcentral lists this ribosomal RNA (301 nucleotides) under uncultured bacterium. Its description in RNAcentral is "partial 16S ribosomal RNA". It matches the Rfam family "Bacterial small subunit ribosomal RNA", at positions 509 to 807 of the family's 1533-position model. The record is from RNAcentral.